AUGCCGCGGGCGCGAAGGCCGCCCAAUCCUGGCGAGCCCCGCGGGCAGUCGGUGUUGAGUAAAUUUUUCCUGCCUAAGGCAUCUUUGCAGGCGACCACUUCUGCCUCGGUUUCUGCUGCGCUCCUGCCUGCUGAGGAGAGAAGCGGAGGCUGUACGGCGGCUCCAGCUGCUGGUGCUGCUGCUGCUGGUUUACACACGAUUAAUGAACCUGCUGGAAAAAAGAGAAGAAUUGCGGAAAGCAAAGAACAUAUUGCCACAUGUUCAAAGCCUUUGCAGAAUACAAGAAAGAAAGUAUGGAAUACAGUUAACUUGAACACUGGUGAGCCAAAGAAAUGUACCAGUUCAUGGAUAUGUUCAAAAACUUUUGAUAAAUUACGAGAAUUUUCUAGCCACUUGGAGUAUCCAUGUAACAGAACUCAUUCUGAGACUUUUCAUGGAAUCCAAUCUGGAGAUUUGAAAACUUACCAGCAUUCUGCAGCUGGAAAUGUGGAAACUAAUGACAUGCUACAUCCACAGGACACUAAUAAGGAAAAAACAAGCCUUGGUAGAAGCCAGAUUUCUGCAUUGAACAUGGGUUGUGAAAACACGCAAAAUACGCCUAAUGUAUCUCUGAAAAAAAGAACCAAAAGUAUAUAUACGCCGCUUGAGCUCCAGUUCAUAGAAAUGAAAAAGCAAUAUAAAGAUGCUAUUUUAUGUGUUGAGUGUGGUUAUAAAUACAGAUUUUUUGGAGAAGAUGCAGAGAUUGCUGCGAAGGAACUGAACAUCUACUGUCAUCAAAAUCACAACUUUAUGACUGCCAGCAUACCAACUCAUAGACUAUUUGUUCAUGUUCGGCGUCUUGUAGCAAAGGGGUAUAAGCGCGUGUGCCAAAAAAGUAUGAUGAAGGGAGGUUGCUGCGAAGGAAAAGUGGGGGAAAUGAGAGUGAGAGACGAUGACAGAAAGAUAGAAGAGGAAGAAGGCAGCAUGUGUGAGGCUGGGAUAGAAUGGCAUUUAGUGCCCCACUUCAGGGCCCACUCACCUUUGUUUUCAGUGAGCACAAUGAGAUUUGAACAAUACGGACAGUGCGUUCCUUAUCUACAUGGUGAAGUAGGAGUUGUAAAACAAAUGGAAACAGCUGCCUUGAAGGCUGUUGGUGGGAAUAAAAGCUCUCUCUUUACCCGAAAACUAACUGCAUUAUAUACAAAAUCUACAGUUUUAGGAGAAGAUGUGAAUCCUCUGCUGAAGAUUGAUAAUCCUGUAGAUUCAUCAGAUGAAAUGCCAUCUGAUGUCUGCGAUAACUAUCUCCUCUGUAUCUCUGAAAGCAAAGAAAGUUUAAAAGAUAAGAGCAGGAAUACUGUCAUCGGCAUUGUGGCUGUCCAACCCACUACAGGGGAAGUUAUCUUUGAUAGCUUUCAGGAUUCUGGAGCUCGUUUAGAGUUGGAAAGUCAAAUUUUACGCUUACAGCCUGUUGAAGUUAUUCUUCCAAGAGAUGUGUCAGAUCAAACUGAAAAGCUUAUCAAUAAUAUGACUUCUGUAUGUUUACGAGAUGACAGAAUUCGGAUAGAAAGAAUGGAAAACAAUCAUUUUGAGUACAGCAGUGCUUUCCAGCUGAUUACAGACUUUUAUGGCAGUCGAGUUAUUGAUAGCACAGGUUCCCAAGCAUUGUCUGUGAUUUUAAACUUGGAUAAACCAGUGCUAUGUUCCUUUGCUGCUGUAAUCACAUAUCUUAAAGAAUUCAAUUUAGAAAAGAUACUCUACAACCCUAGUAAUUUUAAGAAGUUAUCAAGUGAUGCUGAAUACAUGAUACUUAAUGGGACUGCACUAAAGAAUCUAGAAAUUCUACAGAAUCAAACUGAUAUGAAAACAAAAGGCAGCCUCUUUUGGGUUUUGGAUCAUACAAAUACUCCAUUUGGGCGAAGACUACUAAAGAAAUGGGUGACACAACCUCUCUUGAAAUCCAGUGAAAUUAAUUCUCGACUUGAUGCAAUUUCUGAGACUCUCCUGUCAGAAUCAAGUGUCCUUGGUCAAAUUAAAACUCUUCUAUAUAAGAUGCCAGAUAUCGAGAGAGGAAUCUGCAGUAUUUAUCACAAAAAGUGUUCCACUCAAGAGUUUUAUCUGGUCGUCAACACACUCUCACAGUUGGAAGCAUCAAUCACAGCACUGGUUCCAGCUAUACAGACUCAGGUACAAGCAUCCUUACUGCAGAACAGCCUCUUGGAAAUUCCUGAAUUGCUCAGUUCAUCAACAGAUUUUUUAAGCAUACUUAAUGAAGAAGCUGCAAAAACUGGAGACAAAACACAGCUGUUCAAGGAUCUUGAAGAUUUUCCUUUAAUAAGGAAGAGGAAGGAUGAUAUUCAGGACGUCCUCUAUCAAAUCCAGUUACACCUUCAGGAUAUACAAAAAAUGCUGAAUUGCCCCUUUGCAGAUUAUGUAACAGUAUCGGGACAAGAGUUUCAGAUUGAAGUCAAGAACUCGCUCACAUCUUCCAUACCAUCUGAUUGGAUUAAAGUUAGCAGCACAAAAGCGGUCAGCCGUUUCCACACUCCUUUUAUUGUAGAAAAUUACAGGCACCUGAAUCAGCUACGUGAGCAACUAGUCCUUGACUGCAAUUCUGAAUGGUUACGCUUUUUAGACCAUUUUAGUGAACAUUAUCACUCCAUUGCUAAAGCUGUGGGUCACCUAGCAACUGUGGACUGUGUCUUUUCCUUGGCUGAGGUUGCGAAACAAGGAGACUAUUGCAGACCGGUCAUAAAUGAUGAAAAGUCAGAGAUAAUGAUAAAAAAUGGGAAGCACCCUGUGAUUGACAUGCUGUUGGGAGAGCAAGAGCAGUAUGUUCCAAAUGACACAUACUUAUUGGAGGACAGUCCAAGAGUAAUGAUAAUUACUGGACCUAACAUGGGUGGAAAAAGUUCCUAUAUAAAGCAAGUUGCAUUGAUCACGGUCAUGGCACAGAUUGGUUCCUAUGUACCGGCUCAGGAAGCAAGAGUUGGUAUUGUGGAUGGUAUAUUCACCAGAAUGGGUGCUACAGACAACAUUUUUAAAGGACAUAGUACAUUUAUGGAAGAACUAACAGAUACAGCUGAGAUAAUUAGAAAAGCAACUUCACAUUCGCUAGUAAUUUUGGAUGAACUGGGGAGAGGAACAAGCACGCAUGAUGGAAUUGCUAUUGCUUAUGCUACACUAGAACAUUUUAUUAGAGAUGUGGGUUCACUGACACUGUUUGUCACCCAUUAUCCUCCAGUUUGUGAAUUAGAAAAGGUCUACCCAAGACAGGUUGGGAACUACCACAUGGCUUUUCUGGUGAAUGAAGAUGAUAGUGGAGGAGAAAAGGGAUCUGGAGAUGAAGAAAGUCCAGAAUUUGUCACUUUCCUUUAUCAAAUAACAAGAAGUGUUGCUGCAAGGAGUUAUGGGCUAAAUGUUGCUAAACUAGCAGAUGUUCCUGAUGAAAUUCUGAAAAAGGCAGCUCACAAAUCAAGAGAGCUUGAGAGUUUAGUGAACAUGAAAAGAAAAAGAUUGAUGACAUUUGCUAAACUAUGGAAUAUUAAUGAUUCUGGAGAACUGCAAAAAUGGAAAAGUCUUUGUGAAGCAGAAAAUGAUUGAGCCAACUUUCCAAAUUCCUCAAACUCUGCCAGUUGAAAAUAGAAAUAGAACAGAGCACAGAAGAAGAAAAACUGAGAGGAAGAACCCCCAACUAUGCCAAUGGAGUGGAAAAUUUAUGGACUCAGAGGGCAAGUAACAGAUGACCAGGUGGUUGGAAUACUGGAACUCAGUUCCAAGUGUGGGGCUUAAAUAAAAAGGGCAGGAAAUUUCUCAGCUCGAAGAAUACUCCCUCAAAAGUCUCGAUCCUUUCUGCUUCUCAGGAGGAAAGGUGUCUAAAACUCCUUAGUUUUUUUCACCAGCCAGUUCACAGUUGUUUGUUCCUGCGGGGGAAGGGGUUUGACACAUUUAAGCUCUUGGUGUGUGGGGUUAAUCCCCCCAAUAAGAUAACAUAAAAACAAUGGUAUGUGUUUGAACUUUCUUGAGGAACAAAGGAGAAAAUUGUACAUGGAAUCUGCUGAUCACUGUACAAACAUGCAUACACACAUGCGUGCACGCACACACAAACACACACACACCCAUUAGAUAUAACCUGUUUAUUCCACAAUCCCUUUCCUUCCCUAUAACCUCAGCAAAAAAUGAUGAAAACAUUAAACUGAUCCUUCACUUACUAUUAACUCUUGAAUCUUUAGGUCUAGAUGAAAAGGAUCUGAGACUGAGCACCAGUACCCCCUCACAAACACCCCUACCCCCAGAAAACAUAACAAAUAAAUGUUACAUAUCAAGUAAGUGCCAAGUUAGAGUAGGAACUCCUGACUUUGUUGCUAACUUUUGUGUUUUCACCAUGCUCAGGUAACACAUACACAACAGGGAUAUACUGAAACAUUUUGUUGGGAGUCCAUACCUGUAGAUCUAUAUAUUCUGCAGCUCAUGUGGGUGAGAGGACUGGACCAGGAAUGUGUCCCUCUCAUCCAUCCUAUUUUGCAUACAUUGAGGUUCCCCAGAGUUACUGAUUGUCCUUUAUGGGGGUGUUCACAUCUGCUGUAAUUGGCCAUUAAGCAUAAGUGUUUUGCCCUCUGGGUACUUCAGCUCUCUAACAGUAAGGAGUACUAGGGUGUCACCAGUAUUUAGCUGGACUGAGAAGUUAUGGAAGGUGGGACUCAGGGAUACUGAGGCCAGCAGACAGUUUGACAAAGAUGGUCACCACUGACAAAGUUGCAGGGACUUGCGAAGGGGAAACUAGUAUUCGUGACAGGAGAGGGCCAAACAGCAAGUUGAAUUAUUGCUGUUUGGUCUUGUGCUUUGUCCUUGACUUGCUUAGUGGUUAAGUUCCUUGAAUUUCCCCCAGUGUGGGGGAAAACACGCAGCAGAAGCAGUCUGGCCAAUGUUCCACUGGGUUUGUAGCAAAGUCUGGCAGGUCAUCACGACUGUCCUUAGAGAGCCCUGGCGGGGUGUGCGGCCCAAGGCAAAUCAGCCAGGGCAGAGCCCCCUUCCAGUUAAUUCUAAUGGGGGUUAAAAGAGCAGGGCCCGGGGCGGUCGCCCUGCUUGCCAUACCCUAAGGACAACCCUGCUCAAAGCCAUGUUGACUGUUAUGCGUUUUCAGUAAAGUUGUGGCCAUUUUAAAAUCCAGUACUGGCAUUUAUUUAUUUCUUAAUUUAACUCUACAAAACCUCUGCAUUGCACAUCUGUUUGUGUGUGUGUUUCUUAGUCUCAGUCUGGUAUUAUCCACCUCCCCAGUCUGCAAUGCAGAUACACAGGAGAUCAGUGAGGGCUAAGAAUAUUCAACAAGUUCUUUGUGACAAUCAAAUGCACUGUCUGAGCAUAUGUAAUCCCUCAGUACUGCUGCACAGAUUUUGUACAAGCAUUUAAUUGAUCUUGGGGCUGUGGGGGGAAGAGGAAUCUUUAAAAUGUACUUCUCCAUCAAAGUAUGGUGUAAUAAGAUUUAUUUAUUUAUUUUACAUAUUUUUAUACCGCCCAAAACGUACGUCUCUAAAGCACCUUAGGAUCUAUAUGUGGAAAAUUAAAGAGAGUAGUUGACAUGAGGAAAAUUACUCAAAGUAAUCCCACUGAAUCUUAAGGACAAAUUAGUGCCUUUUUCUCAUCAUCUAGACACUGGCUGACACUCUGACUACACUGCAUCAGAGGCGCUCUGCUCUUACCCUGGACCUUGGGGCCCUGGUCAGUGGCCUGCAUGGUCUGGGGAGCCUCCUGCAGCCACCCUGCUGCACCGUACCUCCUUUUUGUUUUUUGCAUAAUUUAAACCACCAUGUGUGCAGCCAAGGGGUGGCUGAGCUGAGCAGGACUCCCCCCCCCCCCCGCCCAGCGGCACUGGCAGCUGCCGGAGCAACCCCUGGGCCUGUCCGAUCCA
Hemicordylus capensis (graceful crag lizard) is the source of this 5884-nucleotide RNA transcript. It is a transcript of the gene named mutS homolog 3, with no coding region annotated. The transcript is spliced from 26 exons. Lineage: Eukaryota; Metazoa; Chordata; Lepidosauria; Squamata; Cordylidae. The record is from RefSeq and is a predicted model, not a curated record.